UAUCAUAUAAUUUUGUUAAAAAUAUAUACGAAUCAGAAGACAAAUGCAUAAAUUAGAAAACAUAUUCAUAGUUACUUCGUUGUAUACUUCAUCACUAUUAUGGAGAAUCAAUCAGUUGCUAUACAUUAUGGGAAGGUACAUAUAUUUAUCACUGGUUUUCCAUGUACCAAAACACAGAACGACAUACAUGAGUACAUUAAAACACUACUACUCUCCAAACACGGAGCGAUUAGGGCAUGUAGAUCAGAUUGUUUUCCCCACAUAUCCGAAUAUGGAACGGUUAUGUAUGGGUAAACACUUAUCACUUCGUCAAUACACU
Molecule: long non-coding RNA, 319 nt
Filed under: Carica papaya (papaya)
Lineage: Eukaryota; Viridiplantae; Streptophyta; Magnoliopsida; Brassicales; Caricaceae
Description: long non-coding RNA (CPAP_LNC010848)
Source: RNAcentral